RNAcentral lists this ribosomal RNA (253 nucleotides) under uncultured bacterium. RNAcentral describes it as "partial 16S ribosomal RNA". It matches the Rfam family "Bacterial small subunit ribosomal RNA", at positions 524 to 776 of the family's 1533-position model. The record is from RNAcentral.
GACGUAGGGGGCCAGCGUUGUUCGGAAUUACUGGGUGUAAAGGGCUCGUAGGCGGUGCGGCAAGUUGGGAGUGAAAUCUCUGGGCUUAACCCAGAGGCUGCUUCCAAAACUGCUGUGCUUGAGUGUGGGAGAGGCGCGUGGAAUUGCAGGUGUAGCGGUGAAAUGCGUAGAUAUCUGCAGGAACACCCGUGGCGAAAGCGGCGCGCUGGACCACUACUGACGCUGAGGAACGAAAGCUAGGGGAGCAAACAGG